CCUACGGGAGGCAGCAGUGAGGAAUAUUGGUCAAUGGACGAGAGUCUGAACCAGCCAAGUCGCGUGAAGGAUGACUGCUCUAUGGGUUGUAAACUUCUUUUAUAUGGGAAUAAAAUGUUCCACGCUUGGGAUUUUGUACGUACCAUAUGAAUAAGGAUCGGCUAACUCCGUGCCAGGAGCCGCGGUAAUACGGAGGGUCCGAGCGUUAUCCGGAUUUAUUGGGUUUAAAGGGAGCGUAGGUGGAUUGGUAAGUCAGUUGUGAAAGUUUGCGGCUCAACCGUAGAAGUGCAGUUGAAACUGGCAGGCUUGAGUGCAGUAGAGGUAGGCGGAAUUCGUGGUGUAGCGGUGAAAUGCUUAGAUAUCACGAAGAACUCCGAUUGCGAAGGCAGCUCACUGGACUGCAACUGACACUGAGGCUCGAAAGUGUGGGUAUCAAACAGGAUUAGAUACCCUAGUAGUC
This 460-nucleotide ribosomal RNA is filed under the name uncultured bacterium. RNAcentral describes it as "partial 16S ribosomal RNA". It matches the Rfam family "Bacterial small subunit ribosomal RNA", at positions 338 to 795 of the family's 1533-position model. The record is from RNAcentral.